This is a long non-coding RNA of Ruditapes philippinarum (Manila clam), 424 nucleotides long. RefSeq lists it as uncharacterized. The transcript has 3 exons. Lineage: Eukaryota; Metazoa; Mollusca; Bivalvia; Venerida; Veneridae. The record is from RefSeq and is a predicted model, not a curated record.
AUUUCAGGUUCACAUUUAUGUCAGAUGUAGCAAUUUAUAUGUUUUUGUAAAUUCACCAAUUCAAAGUAUGGAAGAAGAGAGAUACUUAAUGAUGCAUAGAUACAUUUGUGACAGAUUUGUGACCGAUAAGUGGCACCGGAAAGGAGUCGAAAUGAACGAUUGAUAUCAUACCAAUACUCACCAAGAGUAAUCUACUGAAAGCCCUGCAGGACCACGAGUAUAAAUUCCAGUACAUCAGAUUGCCUCAAGCUGUAACAGACAUAGAGAGGAGCUGUAACAUUUAGAAUCUAACCUAAAUGCUUGCAAUUUAAACAGGAUAACGCCACAGUGAUAAGGCGUUUACGACAACUUUUCCGCGCAUCGUCAAAAUAUCAUACUUCUGACCGAGACACCAUAACUUUCCGUCAUACAACAUGGAUGUCAA